RNAcentral lists this unclassified non-coding RNA (355 nucleotides) under soil metagenome. RNAcentral's name for it is "partial contains 5.8S ribosomal RNA, internal transcribed spacer 2, and large subunit ribosomal RNA". The stretch from base 1 to 120 matches the Rfam family "5.8S ribosomal RNA", at positions 35 to 154 of the family's 154-position model. The record is from RNAcentral.
GAUGAAGAACGUAGCGAAAUGCGAUAAGUAAUGUGAAUUGCAGAAUUCAGUGAAUCAUCGAAUCUUUGAACGCACAUUGCGCCCGCCAGUAUUCUGGCGGGCAUGCCUGUCCGAGCGUCAUUUCAACCCUCGAACCCCUCCGGGGGGUCGGCGUUGGGGAUCGGCCCUGCCUCUUGGCGGUGGCCGUCUCCGAAAUACAGUGGCGGUCUCGCCGCAGCCUCUCCUGCGCAGUAGUUUGCACACUCGCAUCGGGAGCGCGGUGCGUCCACAGCCGUUAAACACCCAACUUCUGAAAUGUUGACCUCGGAUCAGGUAGGAAUACCCGCUGAACUUAAGCAUAUCAAUAAGCGGAGGA